RNAcentral lists this ribosomal RNA (408 nucleotides) under Triticum aestivum (bread wheat). RNAcentral's name for it is "partial small subunit ribosomal RNA". The record is from RNAcentral. Lineage: Eukaryota; Viridiplantae; Streptophyta; Magnoliopsida; Poales; Poaceae.
AUGCAACAAGAGUGCAACAAGUUUUGCGCCACCCUUGAGAGCGUCAAGGCCCGCCCCGUAAGCGGCAUCGGCGUGCAAGACAUGGCAUUUCAAGCUUUCGAGGCAUUCAAGGUUCAACACAAUGGCAAGUGCUUCAACCUCUCCCAUUGCUAUCGGGUCAUCAAGGACGAAGAGAAGUUCAAGGCACAAUAUGCCGCACUCAAGGCACAUGGGGGGAAGGGCGCCGUGGAGGAUCUUGGGGAGGGCGAGCCGGCACGGCCAUGGGGGAAGACCAACUCCAAGAAGGAGGACAAGCGAGAUGCGGCCACCAACGCCUUGAUCGCAAGCGUGGACGGCAUGAUGAAUAAGAAGGAAUCAAGGGAGGAGGAGCGCCUGUUGGAAAUAUGCCCUAGAGGCAAUAAUAAAUAG